This 403-nucleotide ribosomal RNA is filed under the name Verrucomicrobiota bacterium. Its description in RNAcentral is "Verrucomicrobia bacterium partial 16S ribosomal RNA". It matches the Rfam family "Bacterial small subunit ribosomal RNA", at positions 355 to 776 of the family's 1533-position model. Lineage: Bacteria; Pseudomonadati; Verrucomicrobiota. The record is from RNAcentral.
UGGGGAAUAUUGCACAAUGGGGGAAACCCUGAUGCAGCGACGCCGCGUGAGCGAAGAAGGUUUUCGAGUCGUAAAGCUCUGUCCUAUGAGAAGAUAAUGACGGUAUCAUAGGAGGAAGCCCUGGCUAAAUACGUGCCAGCAGCCGCGGUAAUACGUAUGGGGCGAGCGUUGUCCGGAAUUAUUGGGCGUAAAGGGUACGUAGGUGGUUUUUUAAGUCAGGUGUCAAAGCGUGGAGCUUAACUCCAUUAAGCACUUGAAACUGAAAGACUUGAGUGAAGGAGAGGAAAGUGGAAUUCCUAGUGUAGCGGUGAAAUGCGUAGAUAUUAGGAGGAAUACCGGUGGCGAAGGCGACUUUCUGGACUUUUACUGACGCUCAGGUACGAAAGCGUGGGGAGCAAACAGG